RNAcentral lists this non-coding RNA (212 nucleotides) under Agrilactobacillus composti. Its description in RNAcentral is "Lactobacillus composti T-box sequence". It matches the Rfam family "T-box leader". Rfam says of the family: Uncharged tRNA acts as the effector for transcription antitermination of genes in the T-box leader family. T-boxes are found upstream of many aminoacyl-tRNA synthetase genes and some amino acid biosynthetic genes usually in Gram-positive bacteria. The record is from RNAcentral. Lineage: Bacteria; Bacillati; Bacillota; Bacilli; Lactobacillales; Lactobacillaceae.
UGAAAGACGUUGAAGGAAAGUAGUACCAGUUGUAAGGGUUGAUUAGAGAAGCUUCUUUUUUCUGAGAUGAAGCCCAAUUCUUAUACUGGGAAUUCACUUCCUGAGUCGGCACCUAAAAAGUGUUCCGGUUGAGUGGCCGUUAAACAUGAAGUGUAUAACGUAUUUUUGCGUUGUAAAUUAGGGUGGUACCGCGCGUAGACCUCGUCCCUUGC